AAAGAAAAAAGGAAAAGGAAGCUGCACUGCCGCCAUUUCACGUGAAAAGCAGCGCGGUUAGACAACCACCGAGUGGUUGUAUUUUCAUAACUUAGAUUGAUUUGGCGGAGGUUAACCUUCUUGCCAUUUUGAAGUCAAAAAUAUUUUUUAUUAGGCUAUAGAGGCCUCACAGUUUCAGUCUUAGGAGCUUCGCUUCGUUGCUUGGAAACGACCAAGAAAAAUGAGUUACGGUAGGCCGCCGCCAGACGUCGAAGGGAUGACCUCCCUCAAAGUGGACAACCUGACUUACAGAACUUCUCCCGAAACUCUCCGACGAGUUUUUGAGAAGUAUGGUCGGGUGGGGGACGUGUACAUUCCCCGGGACCGGUACACCAAAGAGAGCCGCGGUUUCGCCUUCGUGCGUUUCCUCGACAAGCGCGACGCUGAAGACGCAAUGGACGCCAUGGAUGGCGCGCUGCUCGACGGGCGCGAGCUGCGGGUUCAGAUGGCCCGCUACGGACGGCCGCCGGACUCGAUGUACAGCCGGAGAGGGGCUCCACCGCGCAGGUACGGAGGCUACGGACGAAGAAGCAGGAGUCGCUCAACUAGUCCCCGCCGUCGCAGACGAAGCCGCAGCCGCUCCAGGAGCAGAAGCCGUUCGCGAUCCAGGAGCCGUAACCGUUACAGCCGCUCCAGGUCUCGUUCCUACUCCAGGUCCAGAUCGAGGUCCAGGUCCAAGUCGAAGUCCAAAUCCAAGUCCAGAACGCCGAGGCGGAGCAAGUCGAAGUCUCCUUCCAGAUCACGGUCUCGCUCCAGAUCCAAAUCCCGUUCCAGGUCCAAGUCCAAGUCGAGGAGUCGAACCCCGGGUUCCAACAGGGGGUCAAAGUCCCGAUCCAGGUCUAAGUCCAAGAGUGGACCUAAAUCACCAGGAAACAACGAAGCAGAGCCUUAACCCAAAUGUGGACGCAAUAUGACGGUAUUCAGGGGAAGGGUUGAUUUAUUUUAUUCUUUAUCUAUUGAAAUGUUGUUUAUUUCUUAAAUUUGUGUUCUGCAGGCUUUACGCUUCACGCAAGUGGCAAAGUCUGCAGAAUGCUGUUAGAACUUUGUUAAAUGUCUAGUAUUAGCUUUGUGUGUGCUUUAUUUUGAAACUUUAUUUCCCAGCCAAUUUAAAGUACACACAGGCAGUAGGAGAUUUGGUUUAAAAAGCAUCAUGAUAAAAAUGGGGUGCUCACAUUUGUAUUGAUGUUUGGGCUGGGAGGCGGGUGGUUGGGAUGUGGGAUGCUUACUCAAACCGUUCACCUAAAUGUGGAAUUCUUUCCUCCAAGCUGCUGAGUCCUGUUUGCAAAGAGAGGAGGAGGAGAUGGGGGUGUUGCAGUGUGAGAGCAGUUAGUGUGUGACCCGCCCAUGUGACCUGCCUGUUGCUGAGAGCCAUUGCAGUUGCUAAGGAGCAGGUCACCGAGGCAACGGUGGUUGCUAUGAAGCAGGUCGUCAUGGCGGUGGUUCGGGCUGUCAAUUGGUGUAUGAGGUGGUGUGGUGAGGUACGUUCUCGCGGGGCACACAGGCAGAUGCACUGAGCAGUUUACCCACCUGUGCCUGUGGUUUCCGCCGCCUCACAUAAAGGGAGCCGACCCCGAGGUUUGUUUUUCCCAAUAUGCCCGGGUGCAAGACCCUUGUUAGAGCUAGUGUGGGAAGAAUUGGGGCCAGGAAACAUGUAAAAUAAGGAAGUGAGUUAUUGAGUAAAAUGUUUACCUAGGAUUUCUUAACUGUCAGGACAGAGAUCAUGCAAUAAAUAUUCAGAUCAGCUGCAGGAAUUGAUACCAGCGUCUAUUUUUUGCUCUUGGUGACUUAAGUUCUGUUUUUCCUUCCAGAUCUUGCAUUGAGCCUUUGAGGACAUCCGGAACAGCCUCACUUUUUGGCAAGAAUACUCCACUAUUACCACUGAAUGCAGACUGAAAGGCGCAGUUGUGUAGCAGUUGAGUAAUGCUGGUUAGCUGUUAAGAUGCGGUGCAGUGCGGUGGUGACAUGGUGUGGCGUGUUGCGGUGCUGAGUGCCCGGUGCAGUUCCGGGGCUCGACCCUUCGCUGCCGUUUGCCGGUUUGUAAGCUCACAGGUGUGGCAGAUCAUCCAUCCUCUCCUGUCUGUGACCUCUACUUCCCUACAUGUGCUGUACAUAUUGUCUUCUAUCCUCUUCACCCUUCCUUCUCUUCUGUGUCCCAAUGUCAACCUUCCUUCUGUGGUUUAUCCACUGAAUUGGUCUUGCUUGCUUUGAAAAAAUAGCCCAGUGGGACGCCAAGAGAAGGGUUAAGGGGCAGUUAAUGGCUUCUUAAGAAAUCUUUUGAAUCGCAUUCUGUGUACCUCAAAUGUCUUGUAACUGCAUCAAAUGAAUGCCAAUAAAGGUUUUUGUUGGAAUUGAA
Molecule: RNA transcript, 2392 nt
Organism: Poecilia latipinna (sailfin molly)
Lineage: Eukaryota; Metazoa; Chordata; Actinopteri; Cyprinodontiformes; Poeciliidae
Gene: srsf2a
Gene name: serine and arginine rich splicing factor 2a
Exons: 3
Source: RefSeq, a predicted model, not a curated record